GGUUCAUUAGCUCAGUUAGUUAGAGCAUUGUGCUAAUAACCUGAAAUCGACAGGUUCAAGUCUUGCUUGGGCCA
Non-coding RNA from Glycine max (soybean), 74 nucleotides. The record is from Rfam. Lineage: Eukaryota; Viridiplantae; Streptophyta; Magnoliopsida; Fabales; Fabaceae.